GGGGUCCCAAGAUCCCCUUCAAUGGCACAUCUCAAUGACCUAACUUCCUCCCUUUGGGUCCCGUGCCUUAAAGUCCUAUCGAUAAUACCGUGAGACAAGAAACAAACCUUUAACACGUGGGCCUUGGGGAAAAUUGGCCCAAACUCUGACCUGUCUAGCUUGAAUAAGUGAUUUCAAUUACUUUAAGACCCACACUUUACUAAAAGUCAGUAAGCUACUUUCCAACACUGCUUUGUUUUCCUGCCAGCCUUGGGCCCCAGAAGCCUGUACUCACCCUGACAAGUCCCUACAGCAUGCCCAGGACAGAUAUGGUAUGUAAGACUUGCUAGGUACAGUCCUUGUUAGGGACAGCCAAGCGUGGGUUUAGAAACAAAGGCAAGUUGAACCAUAUAGUUCGUCACACAGAGUCGCAAAGCUCUGACAACUGAAUGACUCAUUUGAAAGGUGAAAUAAACCGCUUACCCAGGACGGUCUUUCUGCAGGUCCUGGAGCCAUGUGAUUCCAGCAUCCCAUCACCCUGUCACCAGGGCAUUCAGCUGGGUGCUCUGGCAGCUGCUUAUCAGGUAAACUUGGGGAAGCUGUGAAAGCGCACAUGGCGAAUGACGCUGCAAGGUCCUCAUGCCUCAUCCAUGAACAUGCCCCAGCUGUAGGCUGCAUCUGCCUGGCCGUAGAGAUGAGGGUAUGAUGGCUAACCAUCUUCAUCAACUCAGCUAGUUUAGAGUCAGCCGGAAGACAUAAAGCACAUCUCCGAAUGUGUCUGGAAAGGCCUUUCAGUGCUGUGGGACAAUCCCCUUGUACACUGUAAAGGUUUGUCAUUCAAAUUGGUUUAAUAAAAUGCUGAUUGGCCAGUAGCCAGGCAGGAAGUAUAGGCAGGGCACCCAACACUAUGGAUGACGGGAAGGAGAAGGGUGGAGCCAGACAGUCACAGGCAAAUGCAGAGAAGCAAGAUGAGAAUGCUGUACUGAGAAAAUGUACCAAGUACAUGACUAAACAUAGAUAUAAAUUAUGGGUUAAUUUAAGUGUAAGAGUUAGCUAGUUGAGCUAUAAGCCGAGCAUUUACAAUUAAUACAAACCUCUGUGUGACACUUUGGAAGCAGCUUCCAGACUAGGAAAGCUCUGUCUUCAUAUGGCACCCAAUGUGGAAUGCCAGAUGAAGCACAAAUCUAAUUAAUCUUACCAAUAAAAGCCAGAAGUCAAAAAUCAGAAUAAAACCUAAAAGAACAGAGAAGCCAAGGAGCAGCCAUAGUCCCUUCCUACUUCUUGGCAAGCCAGUCAGGAUUAUUAAGUGAGGGAGAAAGACUCACUCUAAAUGUGGAUGGACCAUCCCAUGGGCUAAGGUUCCAGAUAUAAUAAAGUGGGGAAAGAAAAAGCCAGCUAUAAACAGUAUCUUCUUUCCUUGGUUUGGUUGGCCAUGAAGCAAACAGCUUUGUGCACGCCGGGCUCCUGUCACCAUGGACUCUCUGCCCAACACACAGGACCAAGUGACAAUGAACCCGGCCCUCUCAAACCAACCGUAAGCAAAGCCAGUCUUUCCCUCUCAGCUGGUCUGUUCAUGUCCUGGCCACACAAACAAAAGCACAACACGGCUGGGAUUUCUUUUUGUCUCUGUAACGUUUUUACCAGAUUACACAGGGUCAGUCCUGUGUAUCAAAUGCGUGGAGAGAAUAUUGGUAGAGAGAAUAUUCUGGAUUGGCAAGAGAACUUCAUUUUUUUAGAAACUUCCUCAAACAUACAAGUUCCGGAUUCCAAGUGUUUAUAGGUGGGCAGUUGGCAAACGGUUCAUCACGACUCGAGCCCAGCUGCGUUUCCUUAUUACUCACCACCAACCGGUGCUGGUCAGCGUUUCCUACAGCCACAGCCCAUUUCAAAGAGCACAGGUCUGUUCAUCAGUUAGGAAAACAACACCACAGCAACAGAUCAGCUCCGUGUCUCAUCCGCUCAAUACAGUCAAAGUUUAUUCUGGCUCCUGGUAUGGCUUCCUGCAGGAAUGAAAAUGGAACCACACACCAGAAGCCACCUCACUGGGGGCAGGAUCGUAAGGUCGUCUGGCUGUCUGAAGCGACUUGUGAGGGUGAAGUCUCUGCAGAAUAAGGGAUCUGACAUCAGAGAUCUUGGGUUCCAGUCCUGGUUUGUCUGUCACUAGUUGUUUUAACUGAUACGGAGACACAUCACUUCUCUGGGUUUCUGUGUCCACCUCUAUACAAAUGUAUGUUGUUCAUACUGAUGGUCUUCUAGGGGGAAAUGCUUGGGAAUGCUUUGAAAGAUAGAAGGCACACGAUAAAUAUCGUGGAAUAUUCAUUUUCCUGCAGAAGCUUCUCUAGCUGAGCCAACGUCUCCCAUCUGCUCAGUGAGUACAAAGAGGUUGACCUUGGAGUUUCCUCCAAGUUCCUGUGGGAGGGGAUCCUAACUACACAGCACCACCCUCUCAGUCCUCAGAGGCCCUUGUGUCCUGAGCUGGCCAGCCCCAGUCUCUGGAAGGCUUUGUAGCUCAUGUGCCUACCAGAUGACAGUGGACGGACGGACCCUGUGAUGCUCCCAGAAAGCCUUUCUCCACAAACACCACACACUGUCUAGACCCUGCCCCCAUGGAAGGCCCAGUUUCCAAAAUGGGGCACCCUCAUUUGCCCUUACCCCACCCACCCUCCUUCCCAGCUCUGCAAUUUGUCUACGUUGUAUAUUUUGUCUAUCAGUCCUAGACCAUGUCCUCUGCUGCCCCUCAAAAUUUCUCUGAGCUGGACACGGCGGUAGAAGCAUCCAGAAAAAAAAAAAAGGAACAUCUUGAUUUCAGCAGAGCCGUGAACAGCACAUCUUCCACUGUCUGUGUAUUAACGCCAGCCUGGAUAUCAGACAUUGGCAGAGCCUGGUCGGCUGCUUUAGCACAGACUGCAAUCGGAGGUGUGGUUCUUUGGCAUUUAAUCUCCCUCCAUCCAUCCAAAUGGACUUGGCACAGGGCACAGGCCCAGGAGGACUGCAGGAGAC
This is a long non-coding RNA of Alexandromys fortis (reed vole), 2979 nucleotides long. RefSeq lists it as uncharacterized. The record is from RefSeq and is a predicted model, not a curated record. NCBI's taxonomy places the organism in Eukaryota, Metazoa, Chordata, Mammalia, Rodentia, Cricetidae. The transcript has 3 exons.